RNA transcript from Sapajus apella (tufted capuchin), 401 nucleotides. It is a transcript of the gene named 40S ribosomal protein S28 pseudogene, with no coding region annotated. Lineage: Eukaryota; Metazoa; Chordata; Mammalia; Primates; Cebidae. The record is from RefSeq and is a predicted model, not a curated record. The transcript has a single exon.
AAAAGACUCUUGCCAGACCGCCACCAAGCCACCGUCAGGGAUACCAGCCAUGUGCAGCCUAUCAAGCCGGCCAGGGUCACCAAGGUCCUGAGCAGGACCAGCUCUCAUGGACGGUGCACGCAGGUGUGCAUGGAAUUUAUGGACCACACAGGCUGCUCCAUCAUCUGCAGUGUAAAAGGGCCCAUGCGCGAGGGCGACAUGCUCACCCUGUUGGAGUCAGACCAGGUGGCCCGGAGGUUGCGCUGCGCUUGGCUGCUCACUGGGUCUUGGAUGUUGGGUUCAACCACUUGGCUGAUGGGAAUGGUAUGUUACGAUCUGCUCCUUUAUUUUGUGCCGCCACACAUAAAUUGAGAUGCAACUUUAAAUAAAGUGUUUGUGUUCCAAGUUAAAAAAAAAAAAAA